UGAAGUUAGUUUUACAUAGCCCAUGUAUCAAGCCCAUACAGGCCCAUCGGUUUGCAUGCAGGCCGGACAAUCAUUGAGACAACAACUACCACUUCGUGUUUGUCUCAAAAAAAAAAAACACUUCGUGUUUGUCUAAAAAAAAUCACUUCGUGUCAUUUUUUCUCCAAGUUAAAAUAGCCCGUAUUGUUCAUCUAGAUAGAACUCUCUUCUCAUGGCGUGCAAUCCCCACCAAGCUUCUCAUCCACAUGCGUCAAUGGUGGGCAUCAGGAAACUUAUCCCCAGUCUGUGCAUGGAUCUCGGCGACCUCGUAGAUGGCGAGGGGGAAUGCGGGAUGCGCUUCUCAAACUUCUCAUGUCCGGAGGCUCGCGGCGGUGGCGGAGGUUCUGGAUCUUGGUGGCGUGGCGGAGGUACUGAGGUAGCUCCCGGAUGGGAGAAUAUCAGCAAGAUGUGACCAACAUCUGUGGGCGGCUGCUUAGUUGUUGCCCUCAUAACUGGUGAUAUUGGACUCCUACCAAAUUUAGCCACCAAGCGACCCGCAGAGAACACAAUCGAUCCCCAACUAUUCGGGCCACUGCCUCUGAGCUCGCCACCCCUGUUUCAGCAAUGUAAGAGGCAUCUACAUCAAGCUUCAGCCAACCAAUCACCGGUCUUUCCAUUUUUCCUCGGGCGCCUAUAUCCCGGCCCUGACAGGAUAAUGUACUCCAUAGAGUUGAUCUCAACCUAGCAAGCGAUUCUUGCAUCCAUUUUUUGUUUGAUAGUAAAAAAGGAGGUUUAAAUGCACAUAUGCUGAGUUGGGUAGCAAAAGCAUCAGCCUCACGUGAGACAUGCAGGUUAGUUUUUAAGUUCAGUAAUUUUACCUGCGGCUAGUCUUCUUGACACAUGGUUUCUUGCCUGGCUUCUGAAAUCUUGUUUUCUAAGGGUAGAGUUUUCAGGCAUGAAUCAAGGUAUGUGCCACGUUUACAAAUGUUGUAGGGCAGUACAUGUAUUUUUUUGUAUGUGUUCUUUAUUCCUGAAUUACGACAACCUUUUGUGCCCACAGGAACCAUAAACUGAUAAAAGUGCAUGCCUUUCAGAAAAUUACAACAUGACAUGCUUUUGAUAGUUCUAAUAUUCACACCCUUAUAAUCUACUACCUCUGUACCAAAAUAUACGAUGUUUUUGUAGUUCAAUUUGAACUGGAAAAACGUCAUAUAUUUUGGUAUGGAGGGAGUAAUAAGUAUCUUUUUAUCCUGUCAAGUACUCUUACUAUAUCUUUGGUAAUGUUUUUGGUGCUGAGUGCCUACAUAUAUGGAGUAAUUAAGAAUAAUUUUAUUAUACAUCAAUGAACAAAAUGCGAGUCACUAUUGAUUCGAGAACUAUCAAACAUAAUGGUUCAUACCUAUCAAGAAGUUCCUAUGUUUCGGUUAUAUCCAGAUCUUUAUAUAUUUUUGUAAUUGGACAUAUCAUUGAAUUUCUACACCAUGGUCGAGGUCACAAUAAGGACAGUUUGGUUGCCGAUUACAUCCUCAGUUAAAAGAUAAGCUAUCUUUAUCUGUAAUGUGACUCUGAUUUCAUCAGAACUAAAGAGUGUAAUUAUAAAAGUUAGUGCUAACCACAUGGCGGAGGUUCAGUUAAAAUUUGGGACAUGCGAAUGCAUGAUGCACUUCCUCUCGUAUUUGAAUCUCAAUCUCAUGGAUAUAUAAAUCUUGUGGGUCCUUUACUUUUAUUCUUGUUUCCACUGGCUUUACUUGAAUAAGUAAUAUGAUGGCAUCUGUAAAUUUGAAUAUUAAAAAUAUAACCAUUAGAAAUUUAAUUAGUUGAAAAUCUUAAUUACAACUAUAAACAUACCUGAGCAUUGUAUAUCCGUUUCUGUCCGUUCUUGUAGUAUGACCAUGGUAGCAAACUCAAAGUUACAAUUUGGAAAAACUCCCCGCGCUCUUUUCAUCUCCUUUACCUUUGUAUUGUAUGCCAAAAUACAUUUUUUGCAAAUUGAUCCUUUUGGUAUGUUGUAUGUCACUGUAUGGCCUGCUAUGGACAUGUCUAGGUAUACUUAUUAAUUUUGUGGUUAUUUUGUAGUAUUUAUUCAUUAGCACUUCCAAUCAAUUACCACAUCUACGUUUGUACAGUCGAGUAAAAAUGGGUUGCUAAGGGCGUCCGAGGAUUUCUUACUCCUGUUGCAACGCGGGCAUGUUUUCUCACUGGGCAAUAUUUCGUGAUUUCCAGAACCUUAAAAUUGUUGAAUGCAUAAAUAUAUAUGCUCAUUGAUCUUUGAUCUUUGAUCUAAAAUUGUCUAUUAGAUUCUUCUAGAUUGUAGUGUGAUUUGUCUGGCCAUACCAAAAGAAACAAUUAAACUUGUUAACAGUUGUUGGAAAUGCGGAAUAAUUUGCAGUUAAAGGAGCAUAAUUGUUCAUCCAUCAAGAUCAUAUCUAGGCUAAUAAGCUCAUCAGUUGUUGGAUUGAAUACAUUCUCAUCACUUACACUUAAAUGUUCCAAUUUUGUCCCCUUGUCAUUAAGUCGCUCAACUUCUUACACGCCAUAGUAUUUUGCCUUCAAAUCAAUAGAAACUUAGUUAUCAAUUGAUAAAGUACAUAUGAAGAUGUUAUCCAGAAUAAGUGAGUUUACUUACAAAACCUGAUGAUUCAGGUGAGAAGUCGUUGGGCAUGACUUUGUUGGAUGUUGAGUUUUAUGCCGCGUGAAGUGGCUGACCUUGCUUCAUCAAACGUUGAGCUACACGGCCCGUGGGGGUUUUUACUUGUGGGGCGUCCUUCGCGCUUCGUCUUACCGGCAUACUUCGAUGUUCUUGGUGGCUUGUUUGAGUUGCCCUUUUUCCUGACUACUACUUCUUGGAUGUCUACUUGUGUGGCUGGUCAUCAAAAGUCGCUCUAGUUCUUGCAGGCCAUAGUAUUUUUCCUUCAAAUCUAUAGGAAUUAGUUGUCAAUUGAUAAAGUACAUAUGAAGAUGUUAUAUAGAAUAAGUGAAUUUACUUACUAAACUUGAUGAUUCAGAUUA
Triticum urartu is the source of this 2988-nucleotide long non-coding RNA. RefSeq lists it as uncharacterized. The record is from RefSeq and is a predicted model, not a curated record. Lineage: Eukaryota; Viridiplantae; Streptophyta; Magnoliopsida; Poales; Poaceae.